CUUCAAACAAACACAUCAGGGCAGAUCCCCUUCCUCUUCCACACGCACGAGCGGGCGCACCGCCGCUGCCGACGCCUUCCUCGCGGAGUUUGCGGCCGAAGGAUCGGUUGGGGCGCACCGGGUCGGCCUUCGGUGGGGCGCAGUGCGAGCUCUCGGCUCGGGGCAGGAGGCGGCUCGAUGAAGAGGAGCUGGGGCGCGACGCUCCUCUCCUGGUGUGGCGCACGAGGGAAGGAGGAGGGGAUCGAUCCAAGACGGGAGCUGAGGCUGGCGGCGCCCUUCACACAAGCCUCACCGGCGGUGCCUUCUACACAAGCCUCACCGGCGGUGCGGCGGGAGAGCUCCGACCCGUCCAUAGGUGCAGGGAUGCAGAUCCGCGUCGCGAGCCUGUACUAGGCCGAGGUUGAUGCGCCGGCGCAGGGGUCGCCAUCCAUCUUCGCCAGGCCUCCAGAGUACUCCAGCAACAGCCACUAGACGGCAGGUAAGCAUGCAUUGUAUGACCUUAGCUAAUUGCGUACAUACAAGUUUGGAUGAAUUCCAAGAGAUGGAGCACUCUAUCCAAAUAGGAGAAGUGUUAGUUUAAAAGGGUACAAUUUUACAAUGAUUUUCAUGGGGAGCAAAGUAAUCACCUGCGGCAAAUUUAAGUUCUAGAAUUGACAUAUAUUCAGUUCCUUUUUUUAUAAAGAGAGCUCCCUCUCCGAUUUUCAUUAGAAGAAAUCACCGUGCCUUGCAUAUAUUCAUAUAUGCAGUUCCUGGAAGAACAAAGAAGUUGCAUGUCCUUUUAUAUAGUCUAAAAAUCACAUUGAUCCUUGGAGCAUGAUUGGGACAAAUCGCACAUAUGUCCUGUACUGCACACACGUGAAGGCAAAGGAUUUUUCUGAAUGCCAUUGUUGUCCGGUACACAUUGUUUAUCAGUUAGUAAUUU
RNAcentral lists this ribosomal RNA (922 nucleotides) under Triticum aestivum (bread wheat). RNAcentral describes it as "partial small subunit ribosomal RNA". Lineage: Eukaryota; Viridiplantae; Streptophyta; Magnoliopsida; Poales; Poaceae. The record is from RNAcentral.